RNAcentral lists this small nuclear RNA (66 nucleotides) under Mustela putorius furo (domestic ferret). RNAcentral describes it as "U4 spliceosomal RNA". It matches the Rfam family "U4 spliceosomal RNA", at positions 1 to 66 of the family's 138-position model. From Rfam's summary of the family: U4 small nuclear RNA (U4 snRNA) is a component of the major U2-dependent spliceosome. Lineage: Eukaryota; Metazoa; Chordata; Mammalia; Carnivora; Mustelidae. The record is from Rfam by way of RNAcentral.
AUUUGGAGGCAGUGGCAGUAUCGUAGCCAAUGAGGUUUAUCCGAGGUGCGAUUAUUGCUAAUUGGA